GGUCAAUGAUGUUUUGGCAUGUAUUAUCUGAUAUUAAAGCUGAUGUGUAUACUACUUUAGGAAAAAAGAAAAGAAAAUCUA
This is a small nucleolar RNA of Erinaceus europaeus (western European hedgehog), 81 nucleotides long. RefSeq annotates it as small nucleolar RNA SNORD45. The record is from RefSeq and is a predicted model, not a curated record. The transcript has a single exon. NCBI's taxonomy places the organism in Eukaryota, Metazoa, Chordata, Mammalia, Eulipotyphla, Erinaceidae.